RNAcentral lists this long non-coding RNA (4592 nucleotides) under Marmota monax (woodchuck). The record is from RNAcentral. Lineage: Eukaryota; Metazoa; Chordata; Mammalia; Rodentia; Sciuridae.
CAAGCAACCCCUUCAGUGGCUCCAGGACCACUUCGGACCAUUAUAAUCUAUUCUUUAAUUAAAAUUUUAUGUCAGAUAUCAGAAGGGCUGGCAGGUACCAAAUGGGAUGAGAUUCCUGCAGGGAUGGGGAGUGGUCCACCUGAGGGUGCCAACGGCCAAAGGGUCACACGUGGCUCAACCCCAGCCGUGACCACUACAUAGGGUUUUGGCUCACUGUUGCCACAGGGGAGUUGAGAUAAGCGAUUGCUAUCAAGAAGUUUAGGAAUCUGGGACUUUUAUAUCCAAUACACUAGAUCUCUCUCUCUCUCUUUCUCUCUCUCUCUCUCUCUCUCUCUCUCUCUCACCUCCUCCUUGAAGCCAUCUGCCAUCCUAGAUGAAGUGAUCUCUCUGCUCCUUGGCAUGUUACCUGCCCGCCCCUGGGACAGGGAUCAGUAUCUUUUUUGAAGGCUCUUCUUGCUGUUGUCACCCUUUGGAUUGUUGAGAAGCCCCCCCCCACCCCCCGCUGGGACAUGCAGUCCCCGUGGGCCUGCUUCAUGGGGAAGUGCUCUCCAGAGCUCCCCACACCUCUCCCCCUGCACUGUGGCUCAUGUCUUAGCCUGCCCCGUGGGGUCACCUGACUUGGACAAACCUGAGCCAGGACCCCAGGGCUGGGGAGUUUUGUCUGUUAAUUUGUUGUUGUCUUUUCCCCCCCAGCAUCAUGGGGCACCUGGGAUUCCUGUUCCAGAAAGGACUUUUAUCCUGGAGAUCCUUCACCUAGCACAGGAGUCUGUGAAUCUUUUGUUCCCAUCAUGGCAGAGAAAACAAGAGUCAAAUCGUCAAGCAGCCCCGGGCAGAACCUUCCCUACACUGGAUGGCGAUGCUGCUCGGAUGAGUGUCCAGCAGGCACUAAAAUAGGCACCUGGGAGAUCAAUAGUAUGAGGCCCACUUCACAGAAAGGAAAAGCUAAGGCAGCCAUGUGACAUGUCUAAAGUCACAAACUAACUAGAGGGCACAGCCGUGAACUCAACUUCUGUCCAUCUGACUCUGGGUCCUCCCGUCCACCUUUACUCUGGGCCCUUGAAGCCCCUGUCAAAGUCCUUAAAAUGAAGGGUCUCUACAUAAAGUGUAUCCUGGAUUGGAUCCUGGGAAGAAAUAAUGCUAAUGAAACCUUAGUGGGAUCUGAGUCCACAGUUCAGCUACAGCAAGGUCCCGGCAUCAGCUCCCAGGUUGUGACACGUGCCCCAUCGUUAUGGGAUAUGAUAAAUAAAUAUGAAAUGUGAAUAUAAAACUGGGAGCUAGCGAAGGGUGCGUGGAAACUGUUACCAUCUUCACAACUUCUCUGCAAGUCUAAAAUGAUUCCAAAAUUCUAAAGGGGAUUUAAAAAUAAAGAAGAGACAAAAGCUGAAGCAGUCAAGCACAUAAACCAGGAACACACCUGAACCUGGUGUAAGACCCGGGGGGCGGGCAGUGACCUCUCUGAGCUCACAGAGGAGCAAUCUCAGGUGGUUUCUGAGCACAGCAUGGAAUCCCUGAGUGGCAAAGCCCUUCCUUUUCUAGUUUCUUUUGAACUUCCUGCUUUCCUCAAGGAGAAAGUCUCAUCUGGGUGCCCGCCCGUCUUGGCCACCACCGCAGACUCACUAGCUUUCCUUCAUAAGGAAGAACAGGCCUCAGGUGUGGAGCCUGCUGCAAGCCGCAGUCUUGGUGGAAUUCAACACCUGAAUGAUUCUGUUAGGUGUAUUUUUACUUUGUAUUUGUGAUGAGUUAGGUUUUCUAUGCGUGAUUGUGAUAUUAAUUGUUCUGUUUUUAUUAAACUUAUUAGUGCAUAUUAAUUAUACCAGAUAAUGGGUUUCAUUGUGACAAUUUCAUACAUGCAUGUAAUAUAGCUUGAUCAAAUGCACCUCCCUAUUUUCCUCUUUCCCCUCUCCCCCUGGUAUCUAUUCCCUUCCUUGGUCAUCUCUCUUCUACUUUCAUGUCAUCUUUUGUUCCCCGAAAUUCCACAUAUGAAAGGAAAUGUGAUACUUGUCUUUCUGACUUAUUUUGCUUAACAUGUUGAUCUGCAAUUCCAUCCAUUUUCCUGAAAAUGACAUGAUUUUGUUCUUCUUUAUGGCUGAAUAGUACUCCUCUGUGUGUGUGUAUGUGUGUGUGUGCAGAUAGAUUGAGACAGAUGAUAAAUAUUACAUUUUCUUUAUCCACGCAUCGGCUGAUGGGCAUCAAGGCGGAUCCCAUAACUCAGCUACUGUGAAUAGUGUUGCCAUGAUAUGGCACACAGUAUCUCUAUAAUAUUCUGGCUUAUGAUUCCUUUGGAUAUGUACCCGGGAGUGGCAUGGCCGCAUUAUCUGGUGGCUCUGAUUUUAGUUUAUUGAGGACUUCCCCACUGUUUUCAAUAGGGCUUGUCCUUAUUAACAUUCCCACCAACAAUACACAAGUGUGCCUUUUUCUCUGUAUCCUCCCUAUUUUAUUUUAUUUUAUUUUAUUUUUUGUUUUCUUGAUAAUAGCCAUUCUGACUGCAUGAGAUGGAAUCUCAUUGUCGUUUCAAUUUGUAUUUCCCUGAUCUCUAAAGAUUAUGAGCAUUUUAUAUGUCUAUUGCCCCUUUUGCUGCUUCUUUUUGAGAAGUGUCUGUUCUGUUCAUUUGCCCACUUAUCAACUGGAUUUCCUGUCUUUUUCCUGGGGUUACAUAGUUUGGCUUCUUUAUAUUUUCUGGACGUUAAUCCUUUGUCCGAUGAAGAGUGGCAAGACUUUUCCCGUCCUGUAGGUUUCCUCCUCACUUUGGUGCCUAUUUCCUUUCUCACACAGAAGCAUCUAAUUUGAUGGAAUCCCAUUUGUCAAUUUUUGCCGCUAUUUCCUGCACUACUUGGGACACGCUCAGGACAUCAGUUCCUAUACCCAUAUCUUCAAGUGUUUCCCUUAUGUUUUCCUUUAAUAGUUUCAAAUUUUUCCAGUCCUGCUGAAGGUCUUCGAUCUGUUUUGAGUUGAUUUUUGUGCAGGGUGAGGGUUAGGGGCUGAGUUUCCAUCUUCUACCAGUAGAAGCCCAAUGUUCCCAGCACCGUGUGUUAAAGAGGCUCUCUUUUCUCUAAGACAAGAAGCAGAUGGCUGAAGAGGCAUGUGUUUAUUCCGGGGUCAUCUAUGCUGCUCCAUGGUCUCGUGUCUGUUUUUAUGCCGGUGCCAUGCUGCUUGUCACAGUGGCUCUGGACGAUGUUUUGAAACCAGAUACUGUGAUGCUCCCAGCAGGGAUCUUUUGCUCAGGAUUGAUUUAGCAACUCAGGGCCACUCAUAUUUCCAUGUGAAUUUUAGGAUGGCUUUUUCUAGUUUUGUGAAAUAGGUCAUUGCUAUUUUUUUUAUAAAAAGAGAGAGGGAGAGAGAGAAUUUUUUAAUAUUUAUUUAUUUAUUUUUUUUAGUUUUCGGCAGACACAACAUCUUUGUUUGUAUGUGGUGCUGAGGAUCGAACCCGGGCUGCAUGCAUGCCAGGCGAGCGCGCUACCGCUUGAGCCACAUCCCCAGCCAGGUCAUUGCUAUUUUAAUGGGAAUUGCAUUGAAUCUGUAGAUUGCUUUCAGAAGUAUGGCACUUAAUAAUAUUAGUUAUCUUAACCCAGGAACAUGGAAUGUCUUAUCAUCUUCAAACAUCUUCUCUAAUUUAUUUCUUCAGUGUUAUAAUUCUCAUUGUAGAGGUCUUUCAUUCCAUAUGUGUCUAGAAAUCUAUCCGUUUCUUCUAGAGCUUCAAACUUAUUGGCAUAUAACUUUUGAUAAUAUUCCUCAAUGAUCCUCUGGAUUCAAUAUCUUAUUUUUCACCUCUAGUUUUAUUUAUUUGGAUCUUUUCUCGAUCUUUUGAUUAAUUUGGCUGAGAGGUUGUCAAUUUUCUUUAUCUUUAAGUGUCAGUGAUCCUUUGUAUUACUGUUUUAUUCUCUAUUUCACUUAUUUCUAUUCUUAUCUUUAUUAUUUCUUUCCUUCUCUUGAUUUAGGGUUUAAUUUGUUCUUGUUUUUCUAAGGACUUAAGAUGCAUCAUUAAGUUAUUUUGUUUGAUUUCUCUGCUUUUCUAAUGUAGAUGUCAUAGCUAUGAACCUUCCUCUUGAACUGCUUUUGCUGUGUCCCACAGACUCUGUUGUAUUUCAACCUUCCUUUAAUUAUAGAAAUGUUUGAUAUCCCCCAAUUUUUUGAAUGACCCAUUGCUUGUUCAAAAGUGUACUACUGUUCAGUCUACAUGUGUUUGUAUAAGUUCUGCAAUUUUUUUUGCUGUUGAUUUCUAAUUUCAUUCCAUUAUGUUCUAAAAAGAUGAAAGAAAUUGUUUCAAGAUUUUUUUUUUGAUAUUUGUUAAACUGUACUCUGUAGCUUAAAGUGUGAUCUAUUGUAGAGAAAAUUUGGUGUGCUGAUGAAAAUUAUGUACCUUCUGUGUCCAUUGGAUAAAAUAUUCUAUAGGUCUAUUAAAUUCAUUUGAUUUAUAUUGUAAUUUAAAUCGUAUUUCUUUGGUUUUGUUUUGGUUUGUCUGAAAGCUCCAUCUAUUAUUGUAUUGGGGUCUGUCUCUUCCUUUAAGUCCUGAGUGUUUGUUUCAUAAAACUGGUUGCUCCAAUGUCCAGUGUAUGUAUUUUUAUAAUCAUUAUAUCUUCUUAACAUAUUGUUCC